GAUGAACGCUGGCGGCGUGCUUAACACAUGCAAGUCGAACGAUGAAGCCCAGCUUGCUGGGUGGAUUAGUGGCGAACGGGUGAGUAACACGUGAGUAACCUGCCCUUAACUCUGGGAUAAGCCUGGGAAACUGGGUCUAAUACCGGAUAGGAGCGCCUACCGCAUGGUGGGUGUUGGAAAGAUUUAUCGGUUAUGGAUGGACUCGCGGCCUAUCAGCUUGUUGGUGAGGUAAUGGCUCACCAAGGCGACGACGGGUAGCCGGCCUGAGAGGGUGACCGGCCACACUGGGACUGAGACACGGCCCAGACUCCUACGGGAGGCAGCAGUGGGGAAUAUUGCACAAUGGGCGAAAGCCUGAUGCAGCGACGCCGCGUGAGGGAUGACGGCCUUCGGGUUGUAAACCUCUUUCAGUAGGGAAGAAGCGAAAGUGACGGUACCUGCAGAAGAAGCACCGGCUAACUACGUG
Molecule: ribosomal RNA, 466 nt
Filed under: uncultured bacterium
Lineage: Bacteria
Description: partial 16S ribosomal RNA
Rfam family: Bacterial small subunit ribosomal RNA
Source: RNAcentral